AGCCGGAUGGUCGAGUGGUAUGGCGAGGCUGAAAAACCUUUUACAGCGGUUCGAGUCCGCUUCCGGCGU
This 69-nucleotide transfer RNA is filed under the name Sphingobacteriaceae bacterium. Its description in RNAcentral is "tRNA-Phe". It matches the Rfam family "tRNA". From Rfam's summary of the family: Transfer RNA (tRNA) molecules are approximately 80 nucleotides in length. Their secondary structure includes four short double-helical elements and three loops (D, anti-codon, and T loops). Lineage: Bacteria; Pseudomonadati; Bacteroidota; Sphingobacteriia; Sphingobacteriales; Sphingobacteriaceae. The record is from RNAcentral.